UGGGUGGCUCAGUUGGUUAGAGCGCGGUGCUGAUAGCACCAGGGUUUCAGGUUUGAUCCCCGUAUGGGACAA
Non-coding RNA from Podarcis lilfordi (Lilford's wall lizard), 72 nucleotides. NCBI's taxonomy places the organism in Eukaryota, Metazoa, Chordata, Lepidosauria, Squamata, Lacertidae. The record is from the annotation of a GenBank genome assembly.